Molecule: unclassified non-coding RNA, 220 nt
Filed under: plant metagenome
Description: partial contains small subunit ribosomal RNA, internal transcribed spacer 1, and 5.8S ribosomal RNA
Source: RNAcentral
ACUCCGUAGGUGAACCUGCGGAGGGAUCAUUACAGAGUUCGUGCCCUCACGGGUAGAUCUCCCACCCUGUGUUAUUAUACCUUUGUUGCUUUGGCGGGCCGCCUUCGGCUACCGGCCCCGGCUGGUACGCGCCCGCCAGAGGACCCCAAACUCUGAAUGUUAGUGUCGUCUGAGUACUAUACAAUAGUUAAAACUUUCAACAACGGAUCUCUUGGUUCUC